RNAcentral lists this ribosomal RNA (497 nucleotides) under uncultured bacterium. Its description in RNAcentral is "partial 16S ribosomal RNA". It matches the Rfam family "Bacterial small subunit ribosomal RNA", at positions 28 to 507 of the family's 1533-position model. The record is from RNAcentral.
GACGAACGCUGGCGGCGUGCCUAAUACAUGCAAGUUGAGCGAUGAAGAUUGGUGCUUGCUCCUCUUUGAAGAGCAGCGAACGGGUGAGUAACGCGUGGGGAAUCUGCCUUUGAGCGGGGGACAACAUCUGGAAACGAAUGCUAAUACCGCAUAACAACUUUAAACAUAAGUUUUAAGUUUGAAAGAUGCUCUUGCAUCACUCAAUGAUGAUCCCGCGUUGUAUUAGCUAGUUUGUGAGGUAAAGGCCCACCAAGGCGAUGAUACAUAGCCGGCCCGAGAGGGUGAUCCGCCACAUCUGGACUGGGGCACGGCCCAAGCUCCUACGGGAGGCAGCAGGAGGGGAACUUCGGCAAAGGGGGAAAGGCUGAACGGGGAACGGCGCGUUGGGGGAUAAGGUUUUCCGAUCGUAAAACUCUGUUGGUAGGGAAGAACGAUGGUGGGAGUGGAAAGCUCAUAUAGUGACGGUAACUACCCAGAAAGCGACGGCUAACUACGUG